This is a long non-coding RNA of Oncorhynchus keta (chum salmon), 1619 nucleotides long. RefSeq lists it as uncharacterized. The record is from RefSeq and is a predicted model, not a curated record. The transcript is spliced from 3 exons. NCBI's taxonomy places the organism in Eukaryota, Metazoa, Chordata, Actinopteri, Salmoniformes, Salmonidae.
UUCGUGGUUACAUGGCAGCUCGCUCCGAGAAUAAAUACUAUUAUCUAAUUUUGAUUAGACUGGCCUCUGUCUAUUUUACGCAAGAAGUUACGCAACUUCUCAUCAGUUACCACUCUCUCACCCUACUCUUGUUUUUUAGGUCAUUUCUUCCUCUGUCAACUCUCUCGCGUGGGUGAAAGAGGGUGAGAGCGAGGAGGAAGAGGACAGAGGUCCAUCAACAGAAGUGGUUUAUAAAAUCGGUGACCUGGGCCAUGUGAUAUCUGUCGUGACUUGACUUUAACAUUCAUCGGAUGACUGUUAUUUAUCUAAUCAACUAACUAUGUGUCAUUGUUACCUGACUGAAUUAAUCAUGUAACAAUGAACUCAUUAGGAAUUUGGGGCACAUCUAUAAACAGUCCAUUUAUUAAUAAUAACAUAAUUCGGGAACAGUCGUAACUUCCUGCAUCUGCAAAAACCAGAGCCUUAAUUAAGAUACAAUACUGAAACAAAUUGGUUUAAUUAUGUAUUUACUAGCUAACUAAAUUGUGACAAAGGAUAAACAUACCUGCCCUCCAGGACACCUACACCACCCGAUGUCACAGGAAGGCCAUGAAGAUCAUCAAGGACAACAACCACCCGAGCCACUGUCUGUUGUUCACCCCGCUAUCAUCCAGAAGGCGAGCUGUGGAGGCAAAGUGGGUAAUGAAGCAGGGCCCUGUGCAGGACCAUCUACAUCAGGAGAGGGUGAUCAUGGCCCUCACUCUGACCCUGGUGAAGGAGGUAUUUGAGCACACCAGAACCAAUUCAGCACUGCAGUUCAUAAAUCCUACCACAGCCAGGUGACUUCAGAACAGACGCCAAGCCUUAGACACUGAGCCCCAUUGUUUUAUUUUACCUUUAUUUAACUAGGCAAGUCAGUAAAGAACAAAUUCUUAUUUUCAAUGACGGCCUAGGAACAGUGGGUUAACUGCCUGUUCAGGGGCAGAACGACAGAUUUGUACCUUGUCAGCUCGGGGAUUUGAACUUGCAACCUUUCGGUUACUAGUCCAACACUCUAACCACUGCCGCACCAAUCAAUAGUGAGUGUCAUAUUAUUGUUUUUUAUGGGCACACUUCUUUUCUGAAGCUGCUCAGUGAAUAUAGAACGUUUGAAUUAUUUAGUGAUACUAAGUAUUUAUGGCUGGAUUAUUGGACACAAGUGUUUUAUCUUACCAGCUCUGAAUUAACUGCAAAGGGAUGUCUCAUUGAUUCCGACAUUUUUAUUAAAACUUCCUAUUUUUUUGUAACACAAGGCAUUCUUCUACAUAAAUGAUUGUAUUUUAAUAUUAUUUUUGUAAUAACUUGUAAUAAGUUGAUUUAAAAAAGUUUUGUAAAACAUAGUUUCCUAAAAAGGGAUACAUUCUCCAACAACCCAAUGCCUUUUGGUUUGUCUGUUGUAUGAUUCUCAUUUAAAAUGUAUUGAUCCUUGUAUAACACACAUGGAUAUAAAUUGAAAAAUCCCUUUUGGGUAAUAAAAUAUCAUUGUAAGUGAGAAGUUAAUACUAACCCUUUUUACCAAAGUAAUAGUUGAAAUGAUUUAUUUCUGGUCUCGAACUGUACCAAGGAAACUCUGAACAAAAUAGCCAAGUUGGGGCUUUUAU